Molecule: non-coding RNA, 85 nt
Organism: Chloroflexi bacterium RBG_13_48_10
Lineage: Bacteria; Bacillati; Chloroflexota
Source: Rfam
GCCGAAGUGGCGGAAUUGGCAGACGCGCUAGGUUCAGGGCUUAGUGGGCAUUACGCUCGUGUGGGUUCAAGUCCCACCUUCGGCA